UACGUAGGGUGCAAGCGUUAUCCGGAAUUAUUGGGCGUAAAGCGUUCGUAGGUGGUGCGUUAAGUUUGUGGUUAAAUCCGGUCGCCCAACGAUCGAAUCGUCACAAAAACUGGCGCGCUAGAGCUUGGCAGAGGCAACUGGAAUUCCGCAUGUAGGGGUAAAAUCCGUAGAUAUGCGGAGGAACACCAAAAGCGAAGGCAGGUUGCUGGGCCAAUGCUGACACUCAGGAACGAAAGCGUGGGGAGCAAACAGG
Molecule: ribosomal RNA, 253 nt
Filed under: uncultured bacterium
Lineage: Bacteria
Description: partial 16S ribosomal RNA
Rfam family: Bacterial small subunit ribosomal RNA
Source: RNAcentral